RNAcentral lists this ribosomal RNA (402 nucleotides) under Lautropia mirabilis. RNAcentral describes it as "bacterial SSU rRNA". It matches the Rfam family "Bacterial small subunit ribosomal RNA", at positions 29 to 432 of the family's 1533-position model. The record is from RNAcentral. Lineage: Bacteria; Pseudomonadati; Pseudomonadota; Betaproteobacteria; Burkholderiales; Burkholderiaceae.
AUUGAACGCUGGCGGCAUGCUUUACACAUGCAAGUCGAACGGCAGCGCGGGCUUCGGCCUGGCGGCGAGUGGCGAACGGGUGAGUAAUACAUCGGAACGUGCCCAGUAGUGGGGGAUAGCUCGGCGAAAGCCGGAUUAAUACCGCAUACGACCUGAGGGUGAAAGCGGGGGAUCUUCGGACCUCGCGCUAUUGGAGCGGCCGAUGGCAGAUUAGCUAGUUGGUGGGGUAAAGGCCUACCAAGGCGACGAUCUGUAGCUGGUCUGAGAGGACGACCAGCCACACUGGGACUGAGACACGGCCCAGACUCCUACGGGAGGCAGCAGUGGGGAAUUUUGGACAAUGGGCGAAAGCCUGAUCCAGCAAUGCCGCGUGUGUGAUGAAGGCCUUCGGGUUGUAAAGCA